AUUGAACGCUGGCGGCAGGCCUAACACAUGCAAGUCGAGCGGAUGAAGGGAGCUUGCUCCUGGAUUCAGCGGCGGACGGGUGAGUAAUGCCUAGGAAUCUGCCUGGUAGUGGGGGAUAACGUCCGGGAACGGGCGCUAAUACCGCAUACGUCCUGAGGGAGAAAGUGGGGGAUCUUCGGACCUCACGCUAUCAGAUGAGCCUAGGUCGGAUUAGCUAGUUGGUGGGGUAAAGGCCUACCAAGGCGACGAUCCGUAACUGGUCUGAGAGGAUGAUCAGUCACACUGGAACUGAGACACGGUCCAGACUCCUAAGGGAGGCAGCAGUGGGGAAUAUUGGACAAUGGGCGAAAGCCUGAUCCAGCCAUGCCGCGUGUGUGAAGAAGGUCUUCGGAUUGUAAAGCACUUUAAGUUGGGAGGAAGGGCAGUAAGUUAAUACCUUGCUGUUUUGACGUUACCAACAGAAUAAGCACCGGCUAACUUCGUG
Molecule: ribosomal RNA, 484 nt
Filed under: uncultured bacterium
Lineage: Bacteria
Description: partial 16S ribosomal RNA
Rfam family: Bacterial small subunit ribosomal RNA
Source: RNAcentral